RNAcentral lists this ribosomal RNA (254 nucleotides) under uncultured bacterium. RNAcentral's name for it is "partial 16S ribosomal RNA". It matches the Rfam family "Bacterial small subunit ribosomal RNA", at positions 524 to 776 of the family's 1533-position model. The record is from RNAcentral.
UACGGGGGGGGGCAAGCGUUGUUCGGAAUUACUGGGCGUAAAGGGCGCGUAGGCGGCCUUCUAAGUCAGACGUGAAAUCCCUCGGCUCAACCGAGGAACUGCGUCUGAUACUGGAAGGCUUGAAUCCGGGAGAGGGAUGUGGAAUUCCAGGUGUAGCGGUGAAAUGCGUAGAUAUCUGGAGGAACACCGGUGGCGAAGGCGGCAUCCCGGACCGGUAUUGACGCUGAGGCGCGAAAGCUAGGGGAGCAAACAGG